This 5925-nucleotide unclassified non-coding RNA is filed under the name Dermacentor andersoni. Its description in RNAcentral is "bLOC-2 complex member HPS5-like". The record is from RNAcentral. Lineage: Eukaryota; Metazoa; Arthropoda; Arachnida; Ixodida; Ixodidae.
GCAUUUGACAGCAUGGCCUACACUGUGCCAGCGACGAGAAGUAAUCAUGUGGGGAUCACUGUGUCCUAGUGCCAAGUGGUCAGGCUGUGCCGCAGCUUAUCUAGCCAACGCGCAUGGCCGAAGGUGGAGCUGAGCUGACCUCACAGGCACCCUUCGUACUGGCAGAGUACCAGUCGCUUGAUGGCAUCCUUGCACCGAUCAGGAACCUCACUAGGGUCAAGUAUGCCUGCUUCGACGCAUCCAAACGGUACCUCGCCUUCGGGGCUACAACUGGAGAUGUCUUCAUGUUUCAUCGAGACACCACUGCAUACAUUACAACAAUCACAAACAAGGAGGGUGCAGUGUCACAGGUUGCCUUGGCACCAGAUGACUUCGUCCUUGGUGUCGCCACUAGUCGUGGGCACGUUGUCGUCCUGGAGCACAAUGCCAGGAAACCCGCAGUGCAGGCACAGAGGCUGCAGCUGUCUUUUGAGCACAAGGGAAGUGUGGUCACAUGCCUGGAGUGGAACAGUGUGGGGACGCGACUCUUUGCCGCCGACAAUACUGGAAAGGUUUCCAUACUCAAUGUGUCUACAUCUAAGGCCAAAAGUUUGUUCCAGUCACCACCAAGCACUCUGAUGCGCUUAGACUCCAAAGUUGUGCAACUGAACUUCGCACAAGAUCGGCUGCUUGCUUCAACGUUGACAAGAUGUUAUCUCGGUGACACAAUCAGAGAAAAGUUCACUCAAGUUGGCAAGAAGCUGAGGGACGGCGAGUUUGGUGGCUGUUUCUACCCCGGCAGCAAGCCUCAGGACUCUAUGUGCAUUUACGCAGCCCGUCCAGGGUCUAGAAUAUGGCAGGCUGAUCUCAAGGGCAGCGUGCUCAAAACUCACCAGUUCAAGGAAGCUCUUGCCAUCAAUCCAGUCAAAUUAGUCACAUAUAGGUCCGAUACUAGCAUUCUUGGAAGCACAGCAUCCUCAGCCUCAACAACAGCAUUUACUAAACUACUGACUGUAUGGGCAAGCAGUCACAACUUGCCAUAUCUGAUAUCAUGGAGUUCCAACGGCCUUUAUGUAAUUGAUCCACAAGCAGGAGAGAUAGUUCUGUGGAAUGACGAGCUGAAAGAUGUGAAAGAUUUGAGGUGUGUGCGCAACAACAUUUACAUCCAACUGCACAGUGGCGAAUUCUGUGCCUGUUGCCUGCUGACGCCAGUGCAAGCUGUCCUGUGCCUCCUGCAGCACAAUCAUGCAACGCUAUGUGGUCAGUUUCUCUGCCAAAACCAGCUUCUGAUUCCUAAGCCAGCCUUUGAUAAGACUCUGUCCAGCGAACUGUGCUUUGAACUCCAUGACAAACUCCAGGAGGCCGGUCAGGUUUCAUUGGCCAUGUCUGUUGCAAAGGUACUCUUGGACAGCUACGACGUUGACAUCACUAACAAGCCAGCUAAGCCAAAGGUUGAUCUUGCCAAAGAAGAAUGCUUAGACCCAGCAUCGUCUAACCUUGCACAUGUGUCUGUUGAGCGUGCGCCGACCAAACGACGCAGCAGAGAAGCCCAGAAAUCCAAGGAUGAAUUGGGUGUUUCUUCACCUCGUCACGUUCGCUGCCACUCAUCGGAGCCUGUCAAGACCCAUCUGGUGUCCAGCCCAAGACCUGUGCGAAAAACAGUGAGGCGUGGAAGUGAUCCUCCACCACUGGGCACAUUAGACAAAAUACCAUCAGCAGAGUCCUCUUUGAAACUCAAACCAACCAAGGCAUGCAGUCCAAGACCAGCCCGGAGAACCGUGGGCUUGUCGAGUGGGCAGAGAGAGAGAAGCCUGAGCCUGGACGCUCCUCGACAGGUAACACACGAAUCUCAGCCAUCACGAACACUCUCAGAGAGGCCACGGCAGCUACCAACUGUAGCCAAGAGCUCUGCAUUUGUGGGCCUCAGCGUGGGAAGCCGUGAUCAGAACAAGGAGACAACAAAAGUCAGCAGCAGCAACAGUUCAGGCAGGGAGACUCCAGAGGACUCCGAAGUGUCACCGACUCCGGGGUGCUCCGUGGCUGAACGGGGCAACAACAAGAAGGCCUACGGCAGUGCUCUGCGAAUAUUACCAGCCAUUCCUGCAUCGCCCUUGGAUUCGCCAAUGAGUCCUUUGGACAGGGUAGACCCGGAGGUGUUGGCCAGCAUGUAUGCUGAACAAGAUGUGGGCUACGAAAGCGUCUACCAGUACCUCAGCUUGGGGGUGUAUGGCUCAAGCCUUGUACCCGCUGCCUUCACCAUGCGAGGCACUGACCUUGCUCAGCUAGCUAAUGUUGCUGAUCUUGCGAAGCUUCGAGAUACGCUUUCAUCGAGGCUAUCCAAUGGAAAAGACUCCAUACUGAAAAACCUCCGUGGCCUGGAGAGCAAGUUAAAGUACUUUUCAGUGGACCAAGCCGCAGACGUGGGCCUCACAUCUCCAUUGUCUGUGGUACCAGAGUGCACUCCAGCUGAGCCUAACUUAAGGCCAGCAGAAAAUUUUAGCAAGCACUUGACACCAAAGGAUGAGUUUUGGUCUUUCCUGCCUGGUGUGAACAGCAGCUUCAUUGAGGCAACGCUGCAAGCAAGCUCAAAUGCCAGUGACCCCAGCAUAUUUUACCAUGGUCCCAGCCUUGUCAUGGUCCUUGAAGAAUGGCUUGACGCUCUACAUUCCACUCAGAUUUCUAUAGUCAACCAGAUAGCAUCUACAGAGACAGCAAAGCUUCCUGCUGUUAUAAGCCACUGUGAUAGUGUACAGAAGUCACCCGAUGAAACGUUCUCUUCUCCCAGCUCCCAGAGUGAGACCAGAAUCAGCGCGCAAGUGAACCUUAUCAAAUCCAUCUUCACCAGCGAUCCAUUUCGCCUCCCCUCCGAAGUGGCAGAGAAGGCUCGGGAGUUGGCUAUGCUGUGCUUUCAAACACGAACACUGGGCAGUGUGGAAAGAGUUGCCACAAAGGUGUCUGAAGUUGAAAGUCGUGAGAAACUUGCGUCGUCAAUGUAUAACGGCAGCUCUGCUGCUACAGACAAUAAGCUCUCCAAGCACAGUAGUACAAAUUCGCUCGGGAGCGAGGACACUUCGACGCACUGCGACCUCAGUCUUUCAAUGCGGUCCUCGGCAUCUGAGAAGUACGGGUUUCACCUCUCCGAGAUGCCAACCGUCGACUCCUGCAGCGAAUCGGCCAUGUUCCAGAGCAUGUCUUCAUCUUGCGGAGGCUUCUCAAUCAAUUUGGACUUCCGGCCUGAAGAAUCGGGGCAGCAGCCAGAUACACUCUGUGUUAGGAAAAUGCCUCUCAGUCAGUGCAGGCAAGAGACGAAUGGUGAUGGAACUGAGAGUGCGAAUCAGGAGCAGGGCGUGGCAGACCUUGCCACUGUUUCAGGUGCUUCGCCCAGUCAGUCUCCUCUUCGAGAGAAUGAGAAUGUCAGCAUGCGUGACGAUGCAGCAGUGCCAACGGAAGGCUCUAAAGUUUCUAGAGACGAAUGUUUUGGUGCCAUCGGUGUGAAUGGUUUUGCGUCGCACGAAGCAGUGGAUUCAUGCCAAAGUGUAGCAGGCGAAGGUUUCACAGGCCAAAGAAACUUGUCAGUUUACAGUGAUCUGUCGCCUAGUCAGGGUUCUCAAAGCGAAGCCACGUCAGUUUCCUGGAUGCCAAUGAUUGCACAGAGUAAGGAGAAGACAGAGUUGUUCAAAAACCAUGUAAAUGAUGCCAAAACCGCACUCUUCAUUCGAUAUUACUUUCACCUCCUUGAUCUUGAAGUUGUGUGGGAUGUUGUGCAGCUCACGGAGAAUCCAUGUUUUGAGACGUGGAGCACUGUAGUGUUGGGUGUGCUUCAAGAGUUGAAGGCUCGACAUCGGAAUGAAAGUGGUCCUGAACAUCUGGUCAUCAUCGCGCAUCAGGUGGAAAACUUGGCCAGUCAACCAUGGCUGCUUCUACCCUACCUUGUGCUAUUGCAUGAAGUGGCACAGGAGAAAUUGGAAGACACAUUCACCAAGAAAGCCAGCUGUCUGUCAGCAAGAGACAUCCUCUACUUCACCCAGCUGUGCAAGGUGGAAUCCUUUUUUCUCGGAGCCAUGCAGAGUGCUCUAAGCUGUUUCACCUUGCCACAGAUGCUCUCAUCAUUUCGCAAGUACCUUGAGAAUGAAGAGGUUCGGUGGGAGUGGGUAACGCAGUGCUUGCAAUCUGUAAAUAAUGAGUGCCUCAAGUGUUCCUGCGGAGCUCCAAGCUACAACUCACACAAAACUAACUGGCCUAUGUACGAGCACUUAAAAGCCGUGUUGUGCAACAAGGACUGGAUAUCCCAGAAAAGCUUGGAGCUUUGUCGGACAUAUGCGUUUUGGCCUGGCUACCUCUGUGCACUAAAGCACUUGGGUCAUCGUACGGAGCACCUUGUGAAUGUGAUACAGCUGGGAGAUGCUGAGCUGCUUAUGCCAGACAAUUUUCUAGGGUUUGUGCCAGAGUCCCCCCAGGAAUGGAAGUUGGCGAUGGAGCUGGUCGGGCGUCACCGCACCGAGAAGGUUGUUGUGGUCACGUGCUUGUCAUGCGGGAAACCCCACAAGUCAACGGAGAGCCAGAUGCCCCUGACGGUGCAGAGCGUAGCUCAACGCAUGCUGGCCUCUCUAGGAUUCGAGCAGGCAGCCGCGGUCCUCCAUGAGCUGAAUCUGCCUCGCAACUCCUUGGGCCAGGGCUUCUACCUCGCCAGUGUGCUUCUAACACUCAUUGAACAGCAACAGGCUGCCCUGAGCCACCGCAUGUUAUCUCGCCUGGAGAGCUAUGUCUGGUCACGGAGGCCUGUCACACUACCACCUCAGGUUGCAGAUGUCCUUGACAGGGAGAAGCAGGGUCUGGCUGGCCAUGACGAACUGACAGAUGUGCAGCUGCAAGGAUCAUUUGUGGAGGAGCCUGAAAGCCACUGGGGGGGCAACAUUCCUCUUCUCUCAAAUUGUUUUCUCUGUGGGCUGCCUCUGGGAACUACUGUUAGCACACAUGCCGUCGUUAUGUGCCACUGUGGUCACUGCUUCCAUGAGAGCUGUCUUCCUAGUCCAGGAGAUUUUUGUGUAAUCUGCAAGGAGGAGCAUAUUUGGAAGCGAUGAUAGCAUUUGUGAUGUUACGGCACAUUUGAGUCAACAAUGGCUGCUUGCCGUGCGGCCAACUCAACAGCGCCUUUAACUCCUGCCAGGUUGCGCCUCAUCAGAAGGAAGUGUUUGUCGUCGGGAUUUCUUGCUUGCUAUUCAACAGGUGGUGCUGUCCUGCGCUCAACGAAGUCAAGGAAGCCCUAUUUGUGGACCUAUUUGUGGAUACAUGUUUACUCUAGAAGAAGAUAGCAGUGUUAUUUUUUCCCUCUGUGCCACAUUGUUUGUUGCUUCCUCUAGUCCCUUUUUGAGCCUUGAUGGUUCUCUGCCAUCGACUUAGGUGCUACUUUGACAGGUGUUUGCUAAAGUGCACAAAAGUCAUCUUGCUGGAAUGUCUCCAAUGAAUGCCUGGGUUUUUCCCAUGAUUGCUUGUGUGUUGAAAGAAACUGUCUGUCCCAUCUGCUGAUUAGUGGAGCCACAGACAAAAGACAAUGACGACACCGAGACGUAGUUCUGUAUAAAAAAACACCGAGACGUAGUUCUGUAUAAAAAAACAUAGAAGCUCCUGUUUAUUCAUGCCGACUAGAAAAUGCACACACGCAUCAGAUUCCAUCCACUUGCAUCUGCUUGUUUAUGUACAAUGUUAAACUUGUUCUCACUCUUGGCAUUGUGUGUUGGCUACCUGUGCACUCUUGCGUUCUUCGUUUUUUCUUCUUUCUUGAAGUGCUGCACACUGAUGAACGUAAAGUCCUUGUGUCAAGCUCAUCAUCGAAGCAAUGUGCAGUGAAAAGUGUGAUUGCAAACGACUGCUUUUUACAUUACAUCACCCCAUCUUUCGACGCUUGCAUUCUUGUCACAGAAAUAAAUUAGUAUGUACAUAACACAA